GUGCUCACUUCGGCAGCACAUAUACUAAAAUUAGAACAAUGGAAGAUUAAUAUGACCCCCGAGCAACGAUGACACACAAAUUCUUGAAGCAUUCCAUAUUUUU
Small nuclear RNA from Artibeus jamaicensis (Jamaican fruit-eating bat), 103 nucleotides. The record is from RefSeq and is a predicted model, not a curated record. NCBI's taxonomy places the organism in Eukaryota, Metazoa, Chordata, Mammalia, Chiroptera, Phyllostomidae.